Molecule: ribosomal RNA, 464 nt
Filed under: uncultured bacterium
Lineage: Bacteria
Description: bacterial SSU rRNA
Rfam family: Bacterial small subunit ribosomal RNA
Source: RNAcentral
CCAGACUCCUACGGGAGGCAGCAGUGAGGAAUAUUGGUCAAUGGGCUUACGCCUGAACCAGCCAAGUCGCGUGAGGGAAGACUGCCCUAUGGGUUGUAAACCUCUUUUGUCAGGGAGCAACGCCGGCUACGUGUAGCCGGACUGAGAGUACCUGAAGAAAAAGCAUCGGCUAACUCCGUGCCAGCAGCCGCGGUAAUACGGAGGAUGCGAGCGUUAUCCGGAUUUAUUGGGUUUAAAGGGUGCGUAGGCGGAAUGCCAAGUCAGCGGUAAAAUCGCGGGGCUCAACCUCGCUCCGCCGUUGAAACUGGCGUUCUUGAGUGGGCGAGAAGUAUGCGGAAUGCGUGGUGUAGCGGUGAAAUGCAUAGAUAUCAUGAAGAACUCCGAUCGCGAAGGCAAGUGUCCGGGGUGCAACUGACGCUGAGGCUCGAAAGUGCGGGUAUCAAACAGGAUUAGAUACCCGAGUA